ACCGCGUACAACAUGACAUGCCUA
RNAcentral lists this non-coding RNA (24 nucleotides) under Arabidopsis thaliana (thale cress). The record is from RNAcentral. Lineage: Eukaryota; Viridiplantae; Streptophyta; Magnoliopsida; Brassicales; Brassicaceae.